Long non-coding RNA from Oryza sativa Japonica Group (Japanese rice), 1001 nucleotides. RefSeq lists it as uncharacterized. NCBI's taxonomy places the organism in Eukaryota, Viridiplantae, Streptophyta, Magnoliopsida, Poales, Poaceae. The record is from RefSeq and is a predicted model, not a curated record.
AUGGUGCAAUCGGAUCAUGAUUUGGAUAAGUAAUUUAAGAGAUAAAUUAGUUUAAAGUAAUUUUGCACGUAAAUUGGACGCUAACGUCAGCGCCCGAUUUUACCCCUCCCGAUCGGGCGCCCAACCGGGAGUCAUCCCCGUUUGAUUUGGGUCCCUUACCCACAAAUCCUUUCUUUCUAUGUAGUUGGAACCCCCUUAGUGCAAUUACUACUAUAAAGCAGCCACCAGGUUAAGCCACGUCAUCACAAUUAUCUCAGCUAUUAGAUAUAAUCUAGAUGCUAAACGAUUAUCGAACCAGCCCCCUUCUCUCUGAAUCCUACAAAUUCUUAGUGGAUCCAAUCCCCUUCACAGCUAGCCUGCCGCAUCUACUUCUCCCAUUACGAUAAGCAAUUGUGCAGCAGAAACUGCCUCCAAUAAUUAUAGCAGCGAGACCAAACGUCAUGGUUAAUCAGAUUUAUUCUCUUCCAAAGCAUCUUUAAAAUCCUCCUGCAGCCACACAUACCAGCGCUCUCUUUUGCAGACCAACCGGCCCCCAUAUUUGAUCAUCAGAUAUUGCAUGGUAUAGAAAUACGAUAUGGGCAUAUGGGUGUGCUCCAAGAAGGAUGAGUCAAUGAUGAAUGUGCUAAUUCAAGGACAAAUUUGUAGCAGAUUAUAGAACAUCGAAGGAUGCUUAUAUACAAUGAUUGGAAUGAUAUGUUGUCAAUGGUCUACAGUUUUCUUUCCGGAAAAUCUAUGCACGCCAUCAAUUAGCUAUACUGCUUAGUUGUUCGUCUGUUUUGCAUGUGAAAUUUUCAUAGUUUCAAAUUGGAAUUCAUAAGUAUCCUAGCAGUUGCUUAUAUUUGUAGUGCUGUGUAUUUAUUCGUAAACUACAAUUGUUAUCAUCUUUUUCAGACUUUUCCCUUGCACAUUGUAGGCAUUGUUGCUAAGAGCUGACUGUUAAAUAAGAACAGUUCCUUCCCUUUUUUUUUCUUAACCAGUCAAUGAAUCGAAAGUUUACGGUA